UACGUAGGUGGCAAGCGUUGUCCGGAUUUACUGGGCGUAAAGAGCGCGCAGGCGGUCGUACAAGUCGCGUGUGAAAGCCCCCGGCUCAACUGGGGAGGGUCACGCGAUACUGUUCGACUCGAAGGCAGGAGAGGGAAGCAGAAUUCCCGGUGUAGUGGUGAAAUGCGUAGAUAUCGGGAGGAACACCUGUGGCGAAAGCGGCGCACUGGACCACAACUGACGCUGAGGCGCGAAAGCUAGGGGAGCAAACAGG
RNAcentral lists this ribosomal RNA (253 nucleotides) under uncultured bacterium. RNAcentral describes it as "partial 16S ribosomal RNA". It matches the Rfam family "Bacterial small subunit ribosomal RNA", at positions 524 to 776 of the family's 1533-position model. The record is from RNAcentral.